This 440-nucleotide ribosomal RNA is filed under the name uncultured bacterium. RNAcentral describes it as "partial 16S ribosomal RNA". It matches the Rfam family "Bacterial small subunit ribosomal RNA", at positions 338 to 795 of the family's 1533-position model. The record is from RNAcentral.
CCUACGAGUGGCAGCAGUGGGGAAUAUUGCACAAUGGGGGAAAGCCUGAUGCAGCGACGCCGCGUGCGGGAAGAAGUAUCUCGGUACGGAAAACUCUAUCAGCAGGGAAGAUAAUGACGGUACGUGAACAAGAAGCCCCGGCUAACUACGUGCCAGCAGCCGCGGUAAUACGGACGGGGCAAGCGUUAUCCGGAUUUACUGGGGGUAAAGGGAGCGUAGACGGCAGCACAAGUCGGGAGUGAAAUCCCGGGGCUUAACCCCGGAACUGCUUUGGAAACGGUGCGGCCGGAGUGCAGGAGGGGUAGGCGGAAUGCCUGGUGUAGCGGUGAAAUGCGUAGAUAUUAGGAGGAACACCGGUGGCGAAGGCAGCUUACUGGACUGUAACUGACGUUGAGGCUCGAAAGCGUGGGGAGCAAACAGGAUUAGAUACCCUAGUAGUC